AUAAAAUAUAAUAUAUAUAAAAAAGAUAUUAUUAGACACAACAUAAUUAUCCUAAAAAUAUCUAGAAUAAAAUAAGGAUAAAAUAAUAAAAACGUUGACCAAAAAAUCUCGAAAUUGCAGAUCAGGUCCUUCAACUUUCAUUUAGUGCAAUUUGGUCCUCAAAUUUGACUUUUAUUACAUUUAGGCCCUUCCAUAAUUGCACUUCAAGUCCUUUUCAUUCUCUUUUCGCUCGUUAUACUUCUUUCCGGGGUUUUAGCCUACAAAAGUAACAAUUACACAAUUAUAAAUAGAAAUCGACUCAAUUUUAUCAAUAAUAAAAUCCCAAAAAUUGCUAAAUAAGUGUGUAAAAACACACUUCUCACACCCCCAAACUUGAGCUCUUGCUCGUCUUGAGCAAGAUUGACUUCUAACAUAAUCAUGCAAAUACAAAAAUGAUCAACAUAUUGGAUACCUUGCCAUAAAUAUCAUAGAGUUCAAAAUUGUAUAUCAAUUCAUAGCCAUACUUUCAAAUAAUGCUAUAAAAAAUAAUUAUAACUUAUCCCAUAUUCAAUCAGUGUGUGUGUACAUACCCAUUUUCCAUCAUCAUCUAAACUAAGAAAAUACUAUCAAGAGAGUAAAAUUUCUAAAUUAGCACCAACCCGACCCUCAGUGGUCAAAUAUAUUCUUUCCCGCUCGUAAGAUUCACACUCAAAUACAGAUAUUCCACUUCAUUUCCCAAGUGUAAAUCUAAAGGUUGCUCUCAAACACUCUUUUCUUUAUCGAUCAAAAAUACUCAACUAGUAUGCAUUAUCAGAUGAAGAUAAAGUAACUGAACAUGUAGAACCUCGCAAGAUAGUAUAAUCACUCACUCUCAAGUGUAUAAGAUUGGGUACUGUUUCGCUCAGAUCAUUCCAAUGAAAAUGUUCUACCAUAAGCUUGCAUAUUUUCUCAAUCGUCA
This 937-nucleotide long non-coding RNA is filed under the name Olea europaea subsp. europaea. The record is from RNAcentral. Lineage: Eukaryota; Viridiplantae; Streptophyta; Magnoliopsida; Lamiales; Oleaceae.